RNAcentral lists this ribosomal RNA (468 nucleotides) under uncultured bacterium. RNAcentral's name for it is "partial 16S ribosomal RNA". It matches the Rfam family "Bacterial small subunit ribosomal RNA", at positions 28 to 507 of the family's 1533-position model. The record is from RNAcentral.
GACGAACGCUGGCGGCGUGCUUAACACAUGCAAGUCGAACGGAAAGGCCCUGCUUUUGUGGGGUGCUCGAGUGGCGAACGGGUGAGUAACACGUGAGUAACCUGCCCUUGACUUUGGGAUAACUUUAGGAAACUGGGGCUAAUACCGGAUAGGAGCUCCUGCUGCAUGGUGGGGGUUGGAAAGUUUCGGCGGUUGAGGAUGGACUCGCGGCUUAUCAGCUUGUUGGUGGGGUAGUGGCUUACCAAGGCUUUGACGGGUAGCCGGCCUGAGAGGGUGACCGGCCACAUUGGGACUGAGAUACGGCCCAGACUCCUACGGGAGGCAGCAGUGGGGAAUAUUGCACAAUGGGCGGAAGCCUGAUGCAGCAACGCCGCGUGCGGGAUGACGGCCUUCGGGUUGUAAACCGCUUUCGCCUGUGACGAAGCGUGAGUGACGGUAAUGGGUAAAGAAGCACCGGCUAACUACGUG